Manis javanica (Malayan pangolin) is the source of this 2874-nucleotide long non-coding RNA. RefSeq lists it as uncharacterized. The record is from RefSeq and is a predicted model, not a curated record. NCBI's taxonomy places the organism in Eukaryota, Metazoa, Chordata, Mammalia, Pholidota, Manidae.
CUACAUUUCUGGAAAGGGCACCUCUGAGCUAAGCUUGUUAGGAACUAGCUUAUGUCAUUGUGUUUCCCAAAUUGUUUCAUUUUAUUAUAGUGUCUGCUACAUAUGCUCUGUUUAAAAAAUAUAUAUAUAUUAACUAAAGUUGGGAUAUACAAAUCUGAUGAUUCACAAAGCAAGCAUAUCAGCAAUAUUUAAGGCCUGAAACAAUCCUACAGAAAAGAAACCUUUGUUUAACGUAGAAUUUUCCUAAACCUACUUGAUCAGAGACUAUUUUUGACAGCAACUCUGUUCAAAUGCCGUAGAACACAGUCUGAGACCACACACUGGCUCAAGGGAUCAUUUUCCAAACUUGAUAUCUAACAGGAAUUCAGGCUCUUUAGGAAUAGGACCUAGAUUAGGCCCUUGAAACAAGGAUUAUGAGGAAAGGAUGCAGGGGGAGGCAAGAGGAAAGAUGACAGUGACCUUUGCCCCACAUGGAAAGAGCAGAGAAGAGAGAUCCAUGUGACCUUUAGUCUACUUCUAGUUUUGUUCACAUACCAGCGCUGACCUGUGUUUACCCCUAAAUCAGCUAACCGGACUUUCUCCCUCUACCAGAUGGGGGACCAAGGCAAGAUACUUUUCAGGGUCUCCUUUAGAUCAGCUGUCCUAGUUUUCAAUUUCAUUAUUUCGGUUUGGAAAAAAAUGCAUGAGACAUUUUUAUUUUGACAGAAGUGGUGAUGUUUUGCCUUUUUAGAGGUUUUUCAAUUUUCUCUCAAGGGCUCUAGAAGAUCCCCAAGGUCAAUAACAAUGUUUGUUUGAUAUAAAAUAUUUUAGCAAAUUUUUAUAGUUUGAAGGCUGUUGCUUGUUACAGUUCAAAGGCUCUAUCUAAAUAUAGCAUAUUGAAUUAAAAAACUGAAUUAAUAUUUUUUUAAUAAUGGGAAUUAUUGUAGAUGGACAGAUCAACUCAUGACUUCAUUACCUCAUCUUUUAUGUUCACGCAGCUUCCUGGCAAACAAAUGGAAUGUAUCUUUAAACAAUGGAACAACUAGAAGAUGCCUCAUGCUCAGUGGCUAACUGGAAUCACUCCACAAACCAGCAAUUGUAUUUGACUAAUGUGUUCCCUGUUGAGUCAGGUUAUUCCAGACUUAGGGAGGGAUUAAUGCAUUUUCACAAAACCAGGCCUGUAGUCAGGUGGUCCACUUUUGUUAUGAGAUGAGCUAUAGAGGAUUUGGAAGCAUUAUGGACUUAAUAGCCAUAAAGUGAGUUGGGUGACAAAGGUGGAGAAUAAAGAGAAGUCUAGAGGGCAUUACUAACCUCUGAAUAAUAGUUAUUCCUAUCUCUGGAUUUUUAGAAAUUGCAGGUGGUCAUGAGUCACUGUUUUUAAAACUUGCUCACUUUUCUGUUACAUAGAGAGGUAUUUUGGUAAAACAUAUGGUUAUAUUUCAACAUACCCACUUAUUAUAGCAAUUCCAAUGAUACCACUUUGAACAUAAAGUAUAUUAAUAUUGUUUGUAGCUAAAUUUAAUACUGAUACUACAACAACUAUUUUUACACUAAAUAAUUAAGGUUUUUUUCCUCUUCUUAAUUCCUAAGGGAGAAAAACACCUUCUGUAAAAUCAAAGUCUUUUCUCUUCUUAAGACAACAUGAUUAUACAGAACGUGAGGUCUCUUUUUUUUACCAAAUAGGAAAUGCUUUGAACUUGUUAGAUGAUAUGUCAGCAGUUAUUUUUGAACUUUUCAAGAAUACUGAAUACAUUUGAAUUAAAAUUCACUAGUAGUUUUCAUUUAAUAUUCAUUCAUUGAAACUGUAGACAGACUAGAGAAACAAAAUCUUCACUCUAGUAGUCUUUUGUCUUUCUAAUUUAAUCGAAUAUAUAUUUACUAUCUUCAGAUCUCUAAGGUAAUGACCACACCUUACCUUGGGAAAAGGGCAUUGUGCUAUACCUUGACAGCAGAGUUAGAGAAAGUGGUAAUUUUCAACGCUAACAGGUGCAUAGCCCAUAAUCAGAGAAUUCAUAUUCCCUAUGAUUUUCUAAGAAGUACUGCACACUUUAACAAGACUGUCAUAGUUUUCCAAAUUGUAUCUUUUCUCCUUUUAGGUGUUAAAUUGUAUUUGGACUUUUAUGGCUAAAGAAGACAAGGAUUUCAAGUGGAAAGGAGCUGCCACUCCUGGAGAAUGUUUCCCACUCUUUCAGGAUCUCCGCUGAAGCAGCCAGUGCACGGUGACCUGAACGUCUUCAGAUUUUGUUGUGGUUUGAGAUGGUGUCAUGUAAGCUUGUGAUGGUUAAGUAAACAAGCAACACUGGAACAAAAUUUAACCUGGAUGUUGUGGUUGACUGCAAAAGGGAAGAAUAAUUAUUCACACUAUAAGAAGCCAAACGAAUCUGGAUUAUUUUUAAAAUAAUGAAAUGUGCAGAAGAGUUAACCUGGGAGAUACUCUGUGAAUCAAACACAAGUGCUUUUGGUGUAUAAUUGACCUAACUGAUAAAAACUGCUCAUCUAAAAUGGAAGUGAGGAUUUUCUCCUGUCCCCAAGGCUCACUUGAUCGGCCCGGUUGCUACCAACAAUGGAAGUGAUGAGAAGUUGUCAGAUUCUCAGUAUGAGUUUAUGGCAGAGUCACCAUGUGCUGUUGGAGUGUGAACAAAAGACAGGAAACAAGGAUAAUAUGUAAAUAAAGAUCUGAGCUCUGCCCUUCCUUCUCCACCCCAAGCUCAGCUGGUAGAUGCCACCACGGGCCCUGGCUCAAAUUCAGAUUUUACCAUCACUACUGUCCCGGCCCACGGGACGAACGUGGAGUGUACCGGAGACGCCUGCAGAAAUGAGACAAGCAAGAGACACAAAGAAUGACCAGCAAGACAGGAUGUCUGAUCAAGCUGGCGAAGUUUAUUGUUUACAGGC